RNAcentral lists this long non-coding RNA (230 nucleotides) under Vigna radiata. Its description in RNAcentral is "long non-coding RNA (VRAD_LNC012039)". Lineage: Eukaryota; Viridiplantae; Streptophyta; Magnoliopsida; Fabales; Fabaceae. The record is from RNAcentral.
UUGCAAUUUAGAAAUGCAGUAUAAUGCUAGGGAAUGACCCCUAGGUCGUCUCUCAAGGACCAACUGCGGUUCAGAGUCAAGUCUAACACGAAAAGGGGGGGGGGGGGAAAAGUGUUUUUGUGAAUACGAAUAACUAAAUUAAAAUGAAUGGACAUUAAACUCAACUGUGUAAGUUAGAAAACAUCAAGGUAAAAUAAAGUGCUAAACCCAACAUUUCAACAAACAAUUAU